This 253-nucleotide ribosomal RNA is filed under the name uncultured bacterium. RNAcentral describes it as "partial 16S ribosomal RNA". It matches the Rfam family "Bacterial small subunit ribosomal RNA", at positions 524 to 776 of the family's 1533-position model. The record is from RNAcentral.
UACAGAGGUCCCAAGCGUUGUUCGGAUUCACUGGGCGUAAAGGGUGCGUAGGUGGUGAGGUAAGUCGGAUGUGAAAUCUCCGGGCUUAACCCGGAAAUGGCAUUGGAAACUACCUUGCUGGAGGAUUUGAGGGGGGAUUGGAAUACUUGGUGUAGCAGUGAAAUGCGUAGAUAUCAAGUGGAACACCAGUGGCGAAGGCGAAUCCCUGGAAAAUACCUGACACUGAGGCACGAAAGCUAGGGGAGCAAACAGG